GGCUGUUAGCUCAGUUGGUUACAGCGUGAUGCUGAUAACGCCAAGGUCGCUGGUUUGAUCCCCAUAUGGGCCA
Molecule: transfer RNA, 73 nt
Filed under: Podarcis lilfordi (Lilford's wall lizard)
Lineage: Eukaryota; Metazoa; Chordata; Lepidosauria; Squamata; Lacertidae
Description: tRNA.Ile
Source: RNAcentral